ACUGUUUCAGUCUUUCAGAGUCAUGCAAAGGAGAACUCACGUCUGGCCUUUAACAGAUCACAGGCGAGACGAAGAGAGAGCAAGACAGUGAGGUGGGUUACAUUUGUUCACCAUUUCUUCUGGUGUUAAAAUCUGUGUUAGUAUUUAUAGGAAUCGCUUUAAUGGUUUUGGCAAUUUGUUAUAGCAUUUUGUUGACAUUUUCUUCUGUGAUUUGUAAAUCUUAAAUCUUUCUUCUCUUUGGGCAGUAUAACAUAAUCUGAUUCGAAUAAUUAAGAUAGUAUCUUUUCCAAUUCGAACCUAUAUCUACGAAACCAAGCAAAAUACUUCUGAAAUACAAAACUAUAAAGGGUGGAGGGAAUGUUGAAUCUUGAGAUCGUUUCAGGUGGAUUCAAGAGUCUUGAAGAUUUAGGUUUCUUGAGCAAGAAGGAACAUUUUCGAACAUGGAAGCAGGUAAAGUCUUGGACACAAAUCCGACGGAGAACACAACCGUGGCAGAGCUUGGAUCCGAUUCCAUGGCGGUGAUUGGUAGCCAAAGGAAAGCUUCUUUAGCUUGGAUUCCACGGACGUCUUUAACAGAUCCGUAACUGAGUUUUCCGGCGAUAUUCUUGCCGUAGAAAACGAGUUGAUCGGAGAACUUGACGUAGCAACUGGAAAUCAGGUCAACGGUGAAAUCGCCGUCGUCGGAGAUAGUGUACGAUUUGACGUUGUUGGGAAGAAGACCUUUCGGGAAUCCGUAGCGUGGGAGAAGAUCGUGGAUGUCAUCGGCGGCGAGAGAUGGACGGUCGAGAUUUAGAGAAGAGAAGAGAUCGAGGUCGUUGGAUUGAGAGAAGAUCGGACGGCGGAGAUUUAGGGAGGAGGAGAGAGAUAAGAGAGAGAGGAAGAGACAGGAGAAGAGUGCAAGCAAAGAAGAAGCCAUUG
Molecule: long non-coding RNA, 918 nt
Organism: Arabidopsis thaliana (thale cress)
Lineage: Eukaryota; Viridiplantae; Streptophyta; Magnoliopsida; Brassicales; Brassicaceae
Product: other RNA
Exons: 1
Source: RefSeq